UCACAUUCCAUUGCGGCGCAGGAAAAAAAAAAGGGGGGGGAUUUAGAGCGACUUAUUUCCUUUAAAUCGUCCUCCGGUCCGCCGAGCUAGUCAGUCUGUUGCCGUGAGGAUCUCGCAGGCCUCCGCAGAAGUGCACCAGGGAGAGAAACACCAAGGAGCAAAGGGAGAUGGUAGAGGCAUCACCUGGGGAGGACAUCCGGCUGGAGAUGAGGACAAAUGAUGGAAGAAGACGAAGGAGGGGAGAGGAAGAAGAAAAAAAUAAAGCUACGAUGAAUCAUUUGAUGUUCCCUCAUUUACUAAGGACCAGAGUCAAAGGUGUCGUGACAGCUGGGAGGAAUGCUUUUCAGCCAGAACAAACUUCCUAGAGUCGGCCACGUCCCUUCGGACUGCUUUCGAUCGGCAUGAGGUCCACGCGUGGAUCCAGAAGUUGGAUUUGUCUCGGAUCCGAGAGGAGGAGGAGGAAAGUUUUGCUGGCGAAAAAAAAAAAGAGCUGCAACACAUGCAGGAGCUCGCAAGCAAACAAGUGCAAGCGGUGAACACAGUCCGAUCCUCCACUAGAAGUCAAGGUCAAGACGGGCUGACGGAGACAAACGAGCAGGGGGGAGACUCGCUGUUAACAUUAUGAGAACUGUCUGGAGGUGGAGGAAGGUUUGCAUGAAGAUGCCCCUUCAAUGCUCAGCUUUAAAACUCUCAAACUGUGUAUUCUGUAAUUGCCUGUGAGUGAAGCCAAAUUAAUUGACUGUGACUGUUUUUGUAAUUAAACUUCAAUGCGAAAAAAACCCCAAAAAAAAAAACAUUGUUGCUAGCACUGUUGCAGGUUUACCCUGCAUCCCCUCGCCAUUAGUAGCCCCUCUUCCUGUGCGCUCUGAGGAGUCUGCACGGCGUGGUAAAACCUGCCCCGCAGACCGGACCUUCCCCCGUCUUCAAAGCAGGAAGAACUCAAUGCGAGGGGGAUUUGUUCAGGCUUAUUUGGUAACCUAGGAUUUGAAUUGGAUUCUUGGAGGCAUUCACGACACAUGUGAAAAAUGUUACAUUGUGCGAUUUUGUGUGUAAUCCCCAUAAUAAAUUUUUAGAAAUGGUCG
This is a long non-coding RNA of Fundulus heteroclitus (mummichog), 1082 nucleotides long. RefSeq lists it as uncharacterized. NCBI's taxonomy places the organism in Eukaryota, Metazoa, Chordata, Actinopteri, Cyprinodontiformes, Fundulidae. The record is from RefSeq and is a predicted model, not a curated record. The transcript has 3 exons.